AAAGUGGAAUUCCGAGGAACCAGGAGAAGACACUGUGGUGUUGGUUGAAAUAACACUAGAGCUUCUCAAAGCCUUUUGCUACUGCACAUGGUGGAAAGUGUUGACAGAUUUACUUGGAGGGUCAUGGGGGAACAAGAACCUACGUGGGACAAGAGAUCCUCUUACUGUCAUGUUGAACUUCAGUAUUGCUUCAGCCUAAUGUUGUAUUCUGCUGAGGACUCUGUAAAUGGAAUCAAAAGUUUACAUGCCUGGCCACUGGAAAAGAGAAGCAGAACUGGAAGGCUGUCAGUGAGACAGCUGACCUCAGCUGAUCAGAGGCAUGCUCCAUGCCAUAUGCCAUCCUGGUGUAGCAAUAAAUCCUGGAGGAAGAAGCAGGAAGGAGAGGGAUGUUCAGAGUUACAGUGCUUGUCUGCCCACAUAGCCAUUCUGGAGCUCUGCUUUCCUGGAGAUGACUGAACACCUGCCUGUUGGUGGGAAAUGAUGUUCUCACUUUUAUCCUGGAAAUUCACUUCCCUGUCCCACUUGAGAAGAGUCAAGGAAUGGCUGUGUGGGAAUGAGCUACCUUUUGGGGUGAGUCUACACCCCCACCUUUCCCUACAGCAACUAGACUGGGCAUGUGUAAGAGUCUGGGAAGGGAGAGAGUCAGGACAACAGACUCGGACUGACCAGAGGAAUA
Molecule: long non-coding RNA, 676 nt
Organism: Pogoniulus pusillus (Red-fronted tinkerbird)
Lineage: Eukaryota; Metazoa; Chordata; Aves; Piciformes; Lybiidae
Exons: 4
Source: RefSeq, a predicted model, not a curated record